GACGAACGCUGGCGGCGUGCCUAAUACAUGCAAGUCGAACGAACCGCGACUAGGUGCUUGCACUUGGUCAAGGUGAGUGGCGAACGGGUGAGUAACACGUGGGUAACCUACCUCAUAGUGGGGGAUAACAGUCGGAAACGACUGCUAAUACCGCAUAGGACAUAGGAUCACAUGAUCCAGUGAGGAAAGGUGGCGCAAGCUAUCGCUAAGAGAUGGACCCGCGGUGCAUUAGCUAGUUGGUAGGGUAAAGGCCUAUCAAGGCGAUGAUGCAUAGCCGACCUGAGAGGGUGAUCGGCCACAUUGGGACUGAGACACGGCCCAAACUCCUACGGGAGGCAGCAGUGGGGAAUCUUCCGCAAUGGACGCAAGUCUGACGGAGCAACGCCGCGUGAGUGAAGAAGGUCUUCGGAUCGUAAAGCUCUGUUGUUAGAGAAGAACAGCGCAUAGAGUAACUGUUAUGCGUGUGACGGUAUCUAACCAGAAAGCCACGGCUAACUACGUG
Molecule: ribosomal RNA, 502 nt
Filed under: uncultured bacterium
Lineage: Bacteria
Description: partial 16S ribosomal RNA
Rfam family: Bacterial small subunit ribosomal RNA
Source: RNAcentral